GAUGAACGCUGGCGGCGUGCUUAACACAUGCAAGUCGAACGAAGCACCUUAUUCUGAUUUCUUCGGAAUGAAAAAUUUGGUGACUGAGUGGCGGACGGGUGAGUAACGCGUGGGUAACCUGCCUCAUACAGGGGGAUAACAGUUAGAAAUGACUGCUAAUACCGCAUAAGACCACAGCACCGCAUGGUGCAGGGGUAAAAACUCCGGUGGUAUGAGAUGGACCCGCGUCUGAUUAGGUAGUUGGUGGGGUAACGGCCUACCAAGCCGACGAUCAGUAGCCGACCUGAGAGGGUGACCGGCCACAUUGGGACUGAGACACGGCCCAAACUCCUACGGGAGGCAGCAGUGGGGAAUAUUGCACAAUGGGGGAAACCCUGAUGCAGCGACGCCGCGUGAGCGAUGAAGUAUUUCGGUAUGUAAAGCUCUAUCAGCAGGGAAGAAAAUGACGGUACCUGA
RNAcentral lists this ribosomal RNA (456 nucleotides) under uncultured bacterium. Its description in RNAcentral is "bacterial SSU rRNA". It matches the Rfam family "Bacterial small subunit ribosomal RNA", at positions 28 to 482 of the family's 1533-position model. The record is from RNAcentral.